Molecule: ribosomal RNA, 698 nt
Filed under: uncultured fungus
Lineage: Eukaryota; Fungi
Description: SSU rRNA
Rfam family: Eukaryotic small subunit ribosomal RNA
Source: RNAcentral
GGUUUCUAGGACCGCCGUAAUGAUUAAUAGGGAUAGUUGGGGGCAUCAGUAUUCAAUUGUCAGAGGUGAAAUUCUUGGAUUUAUUGAAGACUAACUACUGCGAAAGCAUUUGCCAAAGAUGUUUUCAUUAAUCAGGAACGAAAGUUAGGGGAUCGAAGACGAUCAGAUACCGUCGUAGUCUUAACCGUAAACUAUGCCGACUAGGGAUCGGGUGGUGUUUUUAUUAUGACUCACUCGGCACCUUACGAGAAAUCAAAGUUUUUGGGUUCUGGGGGGAGUAUGGUCGCAAGGCUGAAACUUAAAGAAGUUGACGGAAGGGCACCACCAGGCGUGGAGCCUGCGGCUUAAUUUGACUCAACACGGGGAAACUCACCAGGUCCAGACACAACUAGGAUUGACAGAUUGAGAGCUCUUUCUUGAUUUUGUGGGUGGUGGUGCAUGGCCGUUCUUAGUUGGUGGAGUGAUUUGUCUGCUUAAUUGCGAUAACGAACGAGACCUUAACCUGCUAAAUAGCCCAACUGGCUUUGGCUGGCUGCUGGCUUCUUAGAGGGACAUUCGGCUCAAGCCGACGGAAGUUUGAGGCAAUAACAGGUCUGUUAUGCCCUUAGAUGUUCUGGGCCGCACGCGCGCUACACUGACAGAGCCAGCGGGUUUUUUUCCUUAACUGAAAAGUUUGGGUAAACCUAGAAAUUUGCCAU